This 216-nucleotide unclassified non-coding RNA is filed under the name Lactarius badiosanguineus. Its description in RNAcentral is "internal transribed spacer 1". The record is from RNAcentral. Lineage: Eukaryota; Fungi; Basidiomycota; Agaricomycetes; Russulales; Russulaceae.
UCGUACAAAAUGUGAGGGGCAUGCAAGGGCUGUCGCUGACUUCAAAGUCGUGCACGCCCGGGUGUGUCCCCUCACAUAAUAAUCCACCUCACCCUUUGUGCAUCACCGCGUGGGCACCCUUCGGGAUCAUCUCGGAGGGGGCUCGCGUUUUCACACAAACCCCCCCUUUUAAAAGUGUAGAAUGACCUCAUAUAUGCGCUAACCCGCAAUCAAUAC